Long non-coding RNA from Eublepharis macularius, 841 nucleotides. RefSeq lists it as uncharacterized. Lineage: Eukaryota; Metazoa; Chordata; Lepidosauria; Squamata; Eublepharidae. The transcript is spliced from 5 exons. The record is from RefSeq and is a predicted model, not a curated record.
UCUUCCCGCGAAGGGAUUUCGGCCGGUAAUGGGGGUUCCGGGGGCUCAGAAGAACGACUUUCUCGGAAGACCGCAACGUGGCUUUAAGGUAGCCGGUUACUACGUUAAUCGUUACUGUUUUACUGUGAGGGUAGAAAUCAUAGGCGUCUUAGGGGAAGUCAAAGACUGACAGUCCGUCAGUGACUGAAUGUUAUUUCGACAUCAGCUUUCGUGAGCCGACUUUAUUUCGACCGAAGUAUGGAGUGAAGGCCAAGACCACGGCUAUACAGCCCGGAUAAAGGAACGACCAUCUAUGGAGUGAAGGUUCACAUUUAUCAUCAGAACUUCACGCGGGAGAAGGGGAGUUGUUAUGAAGUGAGAUCUGUUGUUAAUCUUCUCGUAAACCGUUCAAGUUGGGGACCGAGGGACUCAAACUACUGUGGUGGUCGCAAGGGGGCCGGAAGUUUUGUUGCGCUGCAUGGAAUUGGGAGUUGCUAUGUUGUCCUGAGCAGCAUGGAAGAGGCAACUUUUCCUAGGUAUUUUCCAUGGAUCUUCCUAGAGUGCUCCCAAUCACUUUAAAUAGUAGUAUUGAAGACUGGAGUGAAGCCUUUAUGACUGAGAUGGAUGGCAGAAACGGUGGGUUCAGUCUAAACACAGAACUGAUUAUGGAAAAUUUCGAAUAUCUGCAGGAAGAUUCUAUGGAGACAGAGAAAAAGAUAAAGUGGCUAGAGACAGCAUACAGAACCAGUUGGCUGUAGCGACUAAUUUCCCUGUAAUUGGGGGCUUCCAGAGAGAUUUACAGCUGCAGAGGUCUGCAGACUACUGAAGACACAAAAUACUAUGCAGUAUCAGCAAGGUUUAG